This 474-nucleotide ribosomal RNA is filed under the name Triticum aestivum (bread wheat). RNAcentral describes it as "partial small subunit ribosomal RNA". The record is from RNAcentral. Lineage: Eukaryota; Viridiplantae; Streptophyta; Magnoliopsida; Poales; Poaceae.
AUGAUGGAAGAUAAUGGACUCCAGCUUUUAGGAAUGUUAUAUAAGGAUCCAAUUUCAAGCUUUGGACUGUUCCAUAAAUUUGCUGUUGAGAAUCAGGAGGUCUACUGGAAAUUGGUGCCAGAGGAGCUCUCGAUGAAGUUCCUACGAGAACCAAAAUCAAUUCUAGAUGCAUCAGAUAUAUCAAUGGAGGAAGCAUGGUUCCCAGGACCUUCGCACUCAACUGAUGUAUGCAUCUGUUAUCAAACUGAGAGUAGGAGAUUGCCAACUAAACUUUGUACAAAAAAGUCAAGACCUUUGGGACAUUACCAAACGCUAUUGGACAAGAAGAUUGAUGGUUUUCAGCAAGUUAGCUGGUUAUUUACAAGUGUGUGGAGCAUCCAAAAUUCAAGUAAGAACACCAUGCUUCCUUGGUGUGUCCAUAAAUAUAUCUCCAUGCUGGAGCUGUCAGAUGAGUACGGGUCAAAUGAAGAAUGA